RNAcentral lists this ribosomal RNA (205 nucleotides) under uncultured bacterium. RNAcentral describes it as "partial 16S ribosomal RNA". It matches the Rfam family "Bacterial small subunit ribosomal RNA", at positions 329 to 525 of the family's 1533-position model. The record is from RNAcentral.
AUUCGGCUUCCUACGGGAGGCAGCAGUGGGGAAUUUUGCGCAAUGGGCGAAAGCCUGACGCAGCAAUACCGCGUGAGUGAUGAAGGCUCUUGGGUCGUAAAGCUCUGUCAGAGGGGAAGAACCUCCUAACGUAUAAUACACGUUAGGCCUGACGAUACCCUCAGAGGAAGCACCGGCUAACUCUGUGCCAGCAGCCGCGGUAAUA